Molecule: long non-coding RNA, 1564 nt
Filed under: Capsicum annuum
Lineage: Eukaryota; Viridiplantae; Streptophyta; Magnoliopsida; Solanales; Solanaceae
Description: long non-coding RNA (CANN_LNC004240)
Source: RNAcentral
UAAUAUUUUUCCUAUAUAUACCUCGGCAUCGAUGAGACUACAUCUCAUAACAAACCACAAAAUGAGAAGAAGCAGUGCAUUAGUUAGCCUUUUAGCUCUGGCUUUGUUCCUCCUCCUCAAUGUCUCAGCCAAUCCAUCUCAUCCCUUUCAUUUGCCGGCCAAGGAAACGAUCCUUGGCCAGCUUGAACUAGCCGUGGAGUCGGGAGCAUGCGGAGAACAAACUGGUGGUAAAGAAUGUCCACCAGGAUUUUGUUGUGCUCAAUGGGGUUUCUGUGGAACCGGACCAGAAUACUGUGGUGACCUCAAUGCUCUCUAAAUACGAGAGGUUGUACUUCUACUCCUCUUUUCGGACUGGUGAUCGUGUUUGAAUAUUAAUGUAUUGUGUGUAAUUGUAAUGCAUAUAAAAUGCAUUAUUAAUAUAAUAAAUAAAGGUCUUUUGUCUAAAACCCGGCCGAAUUUCAAAUAAUUAUGUUUAUAUUAACUAGAUUUCUAAAAUAUGUGAGACUCCUACAACAUAUGGAAGCAGAAACAAUUAAUAUAAAGAUACCCAAUUAGAAAAAUACUCCUCUAAAUAUUGUCAUCUAUAUUCAUAUAUUUUAUUUUAUAUCAUUCUGCUUUCUCACACCUAAUCGUGCCAUCUAACAUCCCCCAUUCAUCAAGAAGUCGACGCCAAUUUUGUUCCGCAGAGGAAUUCUACAUGAUUUCCAACAUUGAUGCUAAAUCCAGAGACUCCUUGUACGUUGACGAAUAUGGUAUCAAUAGUUCGAUAAAAUUGUCAUGACUGCUUUAUAUAUUUUAGGUUAUUUUGAUAUAAGAUGAUACUUAAUAGAUCUAAUGUCAUAGUAAUUUCUCUCGGCUACGAUAACAUUGUUGGUCAAUUGAAUGAUUUACGUUGUUCAAUAUAAUUGGCAAGGUUGAAGGUGCUUGGAGCAGGGGCAAUUGAUGGAGAUACGAUCGACAUAUAUAUGUAUAUAGUUUAGCGGUAAAGACCCUCCACCUCCAAUUAAUAAUCAAAAAGCUACUUUUAGAAGCUAACAAACUUUAGGAUUUGAUUGUAGUUGCUUGAAUAUUGAUUAAAAAACCCUCACCUUCAAUCCUAAAAUAAUCAAAAAACUACUUUUAGACGCCAACAAACUUUAGGAUUUGAUUGUAGUUGCUUGAAUAUUCAUAAAAAAAAAAAACCUCACCUUCAAUACUAAAAUAAUCAAAAAAGCUAUUUUUAGAAGCCAACAAACUUUAGGAUUUGAUUUCUAUUUCCAACAAUGCUAAACAAACACAACAUAUGUUCGAAUGCAUAUUAGCUCAUUAUUAAAGUGCUAUUAUUUCAGGUAUUAAGAGAAUUCAUAAUUAAAGAGUUUGAAAAAUAUAUUGUAAGGAAACAAUAUAUGGUUAGGAUUAGAAUUCAUAGCCUGUUGCUCUUGUAUGAAAGAAGAACAUUGUAUUACUGUAUCACACCAAGGUAAAAGUAAUACUUUGAGAGACUAUCGAAUCUUAAUUAUAGUAUUUAUUUAAGCAUGUUGUAUAUUCGAGUUGUUUGUAUCAAAUUAUGAUAUUUGAUGAUUGG